Molecule: ribosomal RNA, 504 nt
Filed under: uncultured bacterium
Lineage: Bacteria
Description: partial 16S ribosomal RNA
Rfam family: Bacterial small subunit ribosomal RNA
Source: RNAcentral
AUUGAACGCUGGCGGCAGGCCUAACACAUGCAAGUCGAACGGUAGCACAGAGAGCUUGCUCACGGGUGACGAGUGGCGGACGGGUGAGUAACGUCUGGGAAACUGCCCGAUGGAGGGGGAUAACUACUGGAAACGGUAGCUAAUACCGCAUAACGUCGCAAGACCAAAGUGGGGGACCUUCGGGCCUCACACCAUCGGAUGUGCCCAGAUGGGAUUAGCUAGUAGGUGGGGUAAUGGCUCACCUAGGCGACGAUCCCUAGCUGGUCUGAGAGGAUGACCAGCCACACUGGAACUGAGACACGGUCCAGACUCCUACGGGAGGCAGCAGUGGGGAAUAUUGCACAAUGGGCGCAAGCCUGAUGCAGCCAUGCCGCGUGUAUGAAGAGGGCCUUCGGGUUGUAAAGUACUUUCAGCGGGGAGGAAGGCGGUGAGUUUAAUAAGCUCACCGAUUGACGUUACCCGCAGAAGAAGCACCGGCUAACUCCGUGCCAGCCGCCGCGGUAA